AGGAGCAACCCCAGUGGCUACGGCAGCUAUGGAGCCCUGGAUUCAGCUCCUGCAGUAAUUCCAGAGCUCUCAGUCUGCAGGGUCUUGAGGCUCCUGGGCGGG
RNAcentral lists this microRNA precursor (102 nucleotides) under Canis lupus familiaris (dog). RNAcentral's name for it is "mir-8834 microRNA precursor family". It matches the Rfam family "mir-8834 microRNA precursor family". The record is from Rfam by way of RNAcentral. RNAcentral also lists the same sequence under 1 other name. Lineage: Eukaryota; Metazoa; Chordata; Mammalia; Carnivora; Canidae.